CGCCUCUUGCAAAAUGAAUGAAUAAGAGGUCCCGCCUGCCCUGUGACUAUAUGUUUAACGGCCGCGGUAUUUUGACCGUGCGAAGGUAGCGCAAUCACUUGUCUUUUAAAUGAAGACCUGUAUGAAUGGCACCACGAGGGCUUAACUGUCUCCCUCUCCCAGUCAAUGAAAUUGAUUUCCCCGUGCAGAAGCGGGGAUAAAAACAUAAGACGAGAAGACCCUAUGGAGCUUAAGACGCCAGAACAGCUCAUGUUAAACACUCCAAAACAAAGGAAAUAAACUAAAUGAAGCCCUGCUCUAGUGUUUUUGGUUGGGGCGACCACGGGGAAAAACUUAACCCCCAUGCGGAAUAGGAAUACUAUUUUCCCAAACUCAAGAGCUUCCGCUCUAAUGAACAGAACUUUCUGACCAAAAGGAUCCGGCAAUGCCGAUCAACGGACAGAGUUACCCUAGGGAUAACAGCGCAAUCCUCUUAAAGAGUCCCUAUCGACAAGGGGGUUUACGACCUCGAUGUUGGAUCAGGACAUCCUAAUGGUGCAGCCGCUAUAAGGG
Molecule: ribosomal RNA, 552 nt
Filed under: Acanthopagrus australis (surf bream)
Lineage: Eukaryota; Metazoa; Chordata; Actinopteri; Spariformes; Sparidae
Description: partial 16S ribosomal RNA
Rfam family: Bacterial large subunit ribosomal RNA
Source: RNAcentral